GGAGACUGGUCAAAGGUUGCUAAAGACAGACAUGCAGAAGGAGUUUGCGUCAUUAUUUAAACAAAACCUAGUAAUACUAAAUCGCUACCAAUGAGACCAAUCUCAUAUUUACAUGGAGAACCCAGACUAAUAUGGGAAGAAGAUGAGGUAACACAGAUGAUUUACAAAGAGAAUCUUGAAUAUGCGGUCAUUGGAAUGUUUUCGUAUGGAAUGCCAGAGAUCAUAUAACUAAGAUUCAUAAUCCCUAAACAAUGUGAAUUGAUAAAAUUGGACUCUUGGGUAAUCAACAUGUAUUAAUGAGAGCGGCAAACAUGGAGGUUUAUGUAAUUUACUAUCAAAUCUAGCAUUUUACCUAACUCAUCCCCAAUGUUCAUACCCGAUGAGAACCCUAUAGUGGGACGCAAUGUUCGACUCAGAGGAAGAAAUAACAACAGCUAUUGCUUGGAUAUCCU
This 452-nucleotide unclassified non-coding RNA is filed under the name Hevea brasiliensis (rubber tree). The record is from RNAcentral. Lineage: Eukaryota; Viridiplantae; Streptophyta; Magnoliopsida; Malpighiales; Euphorbiaceae.